Long non-coding RNA from Gossypium raimondii (Peruvian cotton), 1926 nucleotides. RefSeq lists it as uncharacterized. The record is from RefSeq and is a predicted model, not a curated record. NCBI's taxonomy places the organism in Eukaryota, Viridiplantae, Streptophyta, Magnoliopsida, Malvales, Malvaceae. The transcript is spliced from 9 exons.
GUUUUUUCCCCUAAAAAUUUUCCCCAAAUCCCUUAUUUUUUUCCCCAAAUCAAAAUCCCCAAAUCCCUUAGAUUUUUCCCAACCGUCUGCUGCAUUGCCGUUCGGCUGAGAAAGGGGAGUUCUAGGAAAUCUGGUCGCGAUUCGGCUGAGAAGAAAGAGCCUGUGACGCCUAGUAGUGAUAAGCCUACAAGGGAAAGGAAAGUCGUAGAAAGGUAUUCAGCUCCUUCUGUUCUGUUGCAAGGUCUUCCUCAUCUAAAACUCUGUCAAUUGAAAAGGGUCGUGGUACUCAGCUUAAAGAUAUUCCUAAUGGGCCUUCGGAGAUUUCAUUUUUCUCCAUCUCAUGAAAGGUUCUCUUCAUAAUGCGCAGCCAACAUGAUUUUUUAUUUUGAGUAAGCUGGCAACAUUAUCUUAAGAUGGAAGGAAAUGGCAAAUGCUCAAAGUUGAUUGUUUCGUAUUAUUCAGAAAAGUACUAAAAAAGAGUCAUUAUGGUCUUUCUCUGCUUAUGUUUCUCUUUCCUGAGGUUUCAUUUUUCUCUGCCUUAUUUGUGAAAGGUCUUCUUCAUUGUAUGCAAGCAACAUAUUUCAAGAUGAGAAGGAAAUAUUAUCUAAAUGCCAAAUAUUUGCACCGUGACAUAAUCAUGAUGAUUGUUUCCUAUGGAUCACUUAAAAGAUAUUUGAGGAAAGGAUUCAUUAUGUUUUUCCUAUGGUGAUUUUUCUCUUUCUCAAUUCUCAGAAUUCCUAUAUUGUUUUUGGAUAUUGCAGGUUCUUUAUGGGUUAGAGUAUGCACAUGCGAUAUCACAUAUCAAAGAGGCAUUGGUGGAAGCUAUGCCUAGGACCAAAUUGGAGCUCAUUUUUGCUGAUGUUAUGUGUUCCAUUAUUAAUCCAUUAGAAGAUCAUAGGAAGUCCGACGGAUUUGGAUAUUUGGGCAGCUGUUCUUCUGUUAACAGUUUAAGUGCGGCAACUGGUACUAGGUGUAGUCUAGGAGGCUUGAUAUGGGAUCUACUAGAAGGACGGAGAAUGGAAGAUUACUUGCUUUUAUGGAUUGGGCCUGACAAUUCAACUUUUUCCAAUGUUGUGCUGACAUUUAAUGGCUGUGAGAUAGAUAUGAUGCAACAGAGGAACAAUUAGUUACAGAUGUUUCACAACAAAAAAGGAUCCUUAAGCGUAGUGUGAUGUUUUCAUCUAUGUCUCAUGUGCGCAAACUGCACUUUUGGAUAGCAAAGAGUUCUUAUUACUCCAUUUGAAGCCAUGCUAGCUUUCAGCAGAAGAGACGAAAAACACCCCAAGGUGGAGAUUUAAGUCAUCAGCAAAGGUUUCUGCUAAAUCACAAGGUAAAAGCAAAAGUAGCAAGAAACCUAAACCUGAGCCUAGCAGGGAAGAUAUUCAUGAAGUAGUUGUAGAUAUUCUAAAAAAAGUGGACUUCAACAUUGCAACAUUAUCUGAUAUCCUUCGACAACUGGAAAAGCCGAGGUGAAGGAUAUCAUUAUAGAUGUGAUAAAUAACAUGUCUGAUGAGGAUGAGGAAGGGGAUGAAAGUGAGGAGAAUGCUGAUAUAGGUGGUGGUGCUAAUAAAGAUGGUGAUGGAGAUGAUGAUGCCUAGUUCUCACUUGAGAAAAUUAUAUGACUGGUAAUUUAUCUCUCCCUCUAGGGAUUUGAUUUGCAAUUCUCAAUAGAAUUAUAAAAUUGUAGUCAUUUUAGAUGUUCAAUAGGUGGGAUUGUAACAUAUGAGGUAGUUACUCUUUUGUAGUAACUUAUUAUAGUAUGCUUGUAGUUGAAGUUUCUCAUAGUGAACAUCAUGUUAUUUAUUCGGCAGAUGUUUCAAAGAUUUGAGUUUUAGAAGAAAGUAUGUAUUGUAGUCAUUAGAUUGGGUUUUCAAAGAUGAUUAUGUUAACAUUUUGAUCAAACAUUAUGAACAGUUCUUUUGUUAA